RNAcentral lists this ribosomal RNA (255 nucleotides) under uncultured bacterium. Its description in RNAcentral is "partial 16S ribosomal RNA". It matches the Rfam family "Bacterial small subunit ribosomal RNA", at positions 524 to 776 of the family's 1533-position model. The record is from RNAcentral.
UACGUAGGGUGCGAGCGUUAAUCGGAAUUACUGGGCGUAAAGCGUGCGCAGGCGGUUCGUUGUGUCGGCGGUGAAAGCCCCGGGCUUAACCUGGGAAUGGCCGUCGAAACUGGCGAACUGGAGUGUGGCAGAGGGGGGGUGGAAUUCCACGUGUAGCAGUGAAAUGCGUAGAGAUGUGGAGGAACACCGAUGGCGAAGGCAGCCCCCCUGGGUCAAGACUGACGCUCAUGCACGAAAGCGUGGGGAGCAAACAGG